Mycena olivaceomarginata is the source of this 94-nucleotide non-coding RNA. Lineage: Eukaryota; Fungi; Basidiomycota; Agaricomycetes; Agaricales; Mycenaceae. The record is from the annotation of a GenBank genome assembly.
GGCUCGGUGGUGGAUGGUCCACGCUCGCUUCUCCUGGGUUGUUCUGAAAUGCCAAUGCGCGCGAGAGAUGCUUGUUCGAUCCAGGCCCGAGCCG